CCUACGGGGGGCUGCAGUGGGGAAUAUUGGACAAUGGGGGCAACCCUGAUCCAGCCAUGCCGCGUGUGUGAAGAAGGCCCUCGGGUUGUAAAGCACUUUCAGUGAGGAAGAACGCCUGGUGGUUAAUACCCAUCAGGAAAGACAUCACUCACAGAAGAAGCACCGGCUAACUCCGUGCCAGCAGCCGCGGUAAUACGGAGGGUGCGAGCGUUAAUCGGAAUUACUGGGCGUAAAGCGCGCGUAGGUGGCUUGAUAAGCCGGUUGUGAAAGCCCCGGGCUCAACCUGGGAACGGCAUCCGGAACUGUCAAGCUAGAGGGCAGGAGAGGAAGGUAGAAUUCCCGGUGUAGCGGUGAAAUGCGUAGAGAUCGGGAGGAAUACCAGUGGCGAAGGCGGCCUUCUGGACUGACACUGACACUGAGGUGCGAAAGCGUGGGUAGCAAACAGGAUUAGAUACCCUUGUAGUC
Molecule: ribosomal RNA, 465 nt
Filed under: Vreelandella stevensii
Lineage: Bacteria; Pseudomonadati; Pseudomonadota; Gammaproteobacteria; Oceanospirillales; Halomonadaceae
Description: partial 16S ribosomal RNA
Rfam family: Bacterial small subunit ribosomal RNA
Source: RNAcentral